CAGCAGCCACGGGAAUACGUAGGGUGCAAGCGUUAAUCGGAAUUACUGGGCGUAAAGCGUGCGCAGGCGGUGUUGUAAGACUGAUGUGAAAUCCCCGGGCUCAACCUGGGAACUGCAUUGGUGACUGCAACGCUGGAGUGCGGCAGAGGGGGAUGGAAUUCCGCGUGUAGCAGUGAAAUGCGUAGAUAUGCGGGGGAACACCGAUGGCGAAGGCAAUCCCCUGGGCCUGCACUGACGCUCAUGCACGAAAGCGUGGGGAGCAAACAGGAUUAGAUACCCGAGUAGUCCCUGUCUCUUAUAC
This 301-nucleotide ribosomal RNA is filed under the name uncultured bacterium. Its description in RNAcentral is "partial 16S ribosomal RNA". It matches the Rfam family "Bacterial small subunit ribosomal RNA", at positions 509 to 807 of the family's 1533-position model. The record is from RNAcentral.